This 240-nucleotide unclassified non-coding RNA is filed under the name soil metagenome. RNAcentral describes it as "partial contains 5.8S ribosomal RNA, internal transcribed spacer 2, and large subunit ribosomal RNA". The record is from RNAcentral.
AACCUAGCACACCUGCGGUGUGUACCUGCGGAGGGAUCAUUACCGAGUGAGGGCCCUCCGGGUCCAACCUCCCACCCGUGUUUAACGAACCUUGUUGCUUCGGCGGGCCCGCCUCACGGCCGCCGGGGGGCACCCCGCCCCCGGGCCCGCGCCCGCCGAAGACACCUGUGAACGCUGUCUGAAGUUGCAGUCUGAGACACUAGCUCAAUCAGUUAAAACUUUUAACAACGGAUCUCAGAU